This 4721-nucleotide long non-coding RNA is filed under the name Fukomys damarensis (Damara mole-rat). RNAcentral's name for it is "lncRNA (ENSFDAG00000023543.1)". The record is from RNAcentral. Lineage: Eukaryota; Metazoa; Chordata; Mammalia; Rodentia; Bathyergidae.
AUGAUACAGGGCUUCACCCACAAAGGCAAGAGUUCAGCUUUUACGGAACAGUUGGUGGGCUGGGGUCCAGCUGAUCAUUAUCUCAGUGCUGGUGUCAUAGUUCUGGAAUCUUUACUGCUGAGGGAUGGUUUCAUUCCCAAGAAAGGAUUGCCUCUAUGGUGGUCUCAGUCAUGUGGAGCUCUGCAUUUCUGGAAUCCAAGUGAUCACAGCCACCACUCAAGGACAGAGGGAUGUGGAGCUCCCGUAGCAGCAUCUGCCACGACCUACAGCAGUGUGCUGUCUUUCGGCUCUGGAUUUAGAAACUCUUGGAAUGUGGGUUCAAUCCCAGCACUGGAAAAAAAAAGGAAUAAAGAAAAGAAAAAAGAAACAAACAGAAAGAAAAAGAAAAGAUGCCUAGAAGACAAAUCCUCAAUAAAUAUAUGCUAAAUAAAUAAAUGGAAUUGUUGACUACCUGAUGUAUGUGAAAUGUCCUACUAGGGCACUUGGGUACAGCAGGAUAAAAAAGACACAGUCCCUGUUCCAUGCACAGGCCUUAUCUGACAAAUUCUGAUUUAACUGGUCUUGUACAAUGACUGGAAACAGAUAUUCAAGUACACACACACACACACACACACUUUUGAAGGGGCUCAGAUGAUUCUCAUGCACAGGCCAGGAUGAAGCUUUUGGGUUAAGCUAUACAUGUCAGCUGGUAACACAUGGGUCACACAUAGCCCUGAACAGCUAGUAAUGUAAUACCACAAGAUCAUAAACUUCUAAUACUAUUACGUGAUUUUUCAUGAUUCAAUCGAAUGGUGUUUGAAUGGAAACAAACUGUGUAGGUGACAACCUGUCUAGGGGAACAUGGUGCAGUGCUAACUGUGCCUCCUGUGCCCACCACACGGAAUAAGUGGAAUUAAAACCUUCGUGUAUCAGACAUUAUGCUCACUUGUGUGACUUGCUGAGUAAAAUUCAAUGAUUAGCAACAUUAAUGCUUCAACUUAUAUGUCUGUGUGCCUAUGAAGACAGGUAUGUGUGUGUGUGUGUGUGUGUGUGUGUGUGUAUAUUAUAUAUAUUAUAUAUAUAAUUUUUUUUUUUUUUUUUUGGUACUGGGCAUCGAACUCAGGAACUUGCCCUUGUGAGGCAGGCAGCAGAACCACUGAGCUAAAUCCCCGGCACCAAGUAUUUAUAUUUUUUUAUUCAGGAAUAUUUUAUAUUUUCAAAGUAUUUAGGAAUAGUUUAAUUAGAAAAAUAAAGGCAAUAGGAUUAUCUAUUAGGUUCUAAAAGUACCCAUGAAUUAAAUCAUACCCCCAAACAAAACAAAACCUUAAAUCACAUUGCUAUUAAGCUUUCUUAUAGUAAAGAAUAAAACCAAACUAUGCUGAAGUACAAAAACCUGAAAUUCUGAGCAUGAAAAUAAUUUAUUGAUUAGACAUCUGAUUUAUUCAAGCAGUAGGCCUGCUGAACACAGCUAAUGAAGCAGGAAAAGUAAAUUCCAUCCAGCACCUGCAUCAUUUCAAAUUUCCUGGGGACAGUUUAUACAUGGGUAUUUAUUACUAUUAUUAAUUUAUUUUGAUUUUUUUGGUAUGGGGAUUGAACUUGGGACCUUGCGCUUGUGAAGCAGGUGGUGGAACCACGGAGCUAAAUCCCCAGCCUGGUAUUUACCUAGUAAUAACUAAACAGACAUGAAAAGGUUCUUAUUUAUUUGAGCUUGUUGUGUUAUUUUAUAAAAUAAUAAGUUAAAAUGCAAAAAGUGCAGGGACUUUUGCUACUUAUAUACAUUAAACAUAUUACAGAUUUUCUAUGUGGCCCAGCCCAAGACAAUUCUGCUUCAUUCAGUGUAGCUCAGGGAGGCCAAAAGAUUGGACACCCUAAGCACUAUCUUCCUGAUGGAAGAAUCAGGGAUGAAAGGCAGAUGGACACCAGAAUGAUCUCUCCAGACUUCCAAAAUCGCCAUACUGAGACUGGACAUCAUAUGAGAAUUGAGGCUAUGUAAAUGAGCCUGCAUGGUGCAGCUGGCCAGGGCUACCGACAAAUUCAAUUCCUAAAUUCUAUUACUGUGCUGGAAAAAAUUUGUUACUGCAAAGAGAGCAUUGGCUUUGCAGAGGCUGAACAGCAAAAAAUGGAAGCUAGUUAGGGCCCAGAAUGUCUCACAGUAGUGUAAGAAGUAAAAAGGGAAAGAUGUCCCACAGACAACUAAGUUCGGGAUGGAUGAAAACAACUACUCAGACCCAAUUUAUUUUCUUUGUAACCAUACCUACACCCAUAACCCUAAUUAUAUUCUUAGGAUAAACUCACACAAAUAAAAGUACUUUUAACACAGGUGAUCUCUGCAAACAACUAUCAAACUCUAUCAUUUUACUUGGGAAUUCAUUUUUUUUGAAGUAGAGGGCUUCUUUUAUUUUGUAUUUAUGUUUGCUCGUUUUGUUGUUUUGUUUUUUGGUACUGGGGAUCAAACUCGGGACCUGUGCUUGUGAAGAAGAGGGCAGAACCACUGAGCUAAAUCCCCAGCCCUAUUUUGUAUUCAUGUAUUUUUGGGUAUCUAUUAAAUUUUAGAUGUGCUUCAAGUAGAAACAACUGCAUUUCUUCCUUCUAGAUACUUCAAGAAAUCUUCUGCCGCUCAUCUUUUCUGAGAAUAUACUUAGGCUUACUUUCCCUCUCUAUAUUCUUAGCACCUUCCUUGUAUGUCUCUAUUAUGUUACCACAGUGUACUUGUUUUUGUGUUAAGCCAUACCUCCAAGCCACCUCCUCCUACCCUCGUUUUUUUUUUUUUUUUUUUUUGGUACCAGGGAUUGAACUUGGGUCCUUGCGCUUGUGAGGCUGGUGGCAGAACCUCUGAGCUAAAUUCCUGGCCAAUUGUUCUAUCUAUGUAUCUAUCUACCUAUCUGUUUAUUGGUUUUUUGAGACAGGGUCUCACUAUGUAGUUGAGACUCACUAUGUAGCCCAGGCUGGUCUUGAACUGACAGCAAUCCUCCUGCCUCAGCCUCCAGAGUGCUGGGAUUACAGGUGUGUGCCACCACGCCCGACAUUACCCUCAAUUGUUCUAAAAGACCAAGAGAUCCUAAAACAGCAGCAUCAUGAUUUCAAGGGCAGACUCCUCUCCCCCUUAAUGCUGAGAUUCUGACUCAGGAGAUCUAGAUUGGGGCUGGGGAAUUGGCAGCAUACUUUCCCAGGGAUUUGGGAUGGCCAAUUUACAAACUUCACUGAAUUGAAAUAAACUAAGAGUGGAGACUGUCUUAGUCACCACUGCACAACUACUGGCUGGCAUGUACACAUGUGGUAAAUGUGUACUGGAUAAAGCGAAUGGUCAGAAAAAUAUCUGAGAACUUCUCUAAAGGAAUUGUCUCAUAUGGACUCAAAACCAGUUACAUCAGACAGUACUUUCAGUAUGUGCAGUAAGACUUGCUCAAUAGGUCUAAAACAAGGAAAUUGAAGUGCUUACUUGACUUUCCAGAUUUAUGAAAAUAAGCAGUUCAGCAGGUAAUUAGGCAAUUUACAAAUGCAAAUCUCAGAUAACCAGACUAGUUUGUGAACUUGCUUAUGCAUUUUUAUAAUUUCUGCUAUUCAUUUUAUGGCUCAUUUUCUACUAGGCCUUGUACUGUCACCUUUCUCAGGCAGAGGUAAUUUGCAGUCUCACUAGAGAUAGAGGUAAAGGUGAGUUUCAGGAGAAAGAUUUUAACUGAGAAGUACUUUCAGAACUUGGAAGUGGUUUGCAAAAUGGGUAUUCCAUAACCUAUGGGAAAUAUGAUUUUGAAAUUUACAGUUAUCAAUGCAUGUUUAAGACUAUCUAUAAACCAGCCUGUCUCUGAGCAUUUAAUUAAUUCACCAUUAGUUUAUGCUGAUUAAAUUCCCUACCUUUAGCUAUUCUGACAUUCCUGGGUAGCACUGUCUAAUUUUUUCACACCAACACCAAAUCUGAUACCCACUUUAAGUAGAUGAAUUUCAGCCCAAAUCUUGUAUUGCUCUAUGAUCCCAAGAGCACAGAACUCCUCUCAGGAAAAUAGGAGAUUUUCCAUAGGUAAAUUCUAGGAAUUGUCCCAUUAUCAACAACUGCUAGAGAAAAAUUUCAGUAAUAGAUUUUAUAUAUUUAAAAACAACUGUAAUUUAGUUGCCUAGAUAAUAAAAACUUGAUUUUUUUGUCACUGUGGAUAUAUCAGCUACCUGAAUGUGCAAACUUUUUUUUGAAAUUUCUGCCCAUAUAUACACAGUCAUAGAAAACAUUACAGCUCAAAUUUAGCACUCAUGGAUACGAGUUGCUAGUCUACCAUUUAUGCAAACUGGUUGUAUUCUCCAUGUGAUUUCUGUGCAGAAAUACUGAAAGACAAGCUUCUGUUUUCAAAUUUCAGGUAUUUCAUUGUGCUCUCUUAGCUAUGAUGGUCAUGGAUUCCAUUUUGGUGUGGUAACCAAAAGUAAUUGUCUUUCCCAGGAGAAUGAUGUUGGGAAAUUAACUAUUACAUACUAAUAAUUGUGAAAACAAGAAGUAACAGAACAUUUAUAGUUGAUAACACUUGCCAUUAAUGAAAAGGAAAACUAGGGGCCUUUGGUCACUUGAAAUUUUGAGGAAGAAGUCUUGGCUUUUACCUUUGUAAAUUACUCAUUAGGAGUAUUCUAAUGCACUGGUUAGUUAUACUAAUGCAAAUGCAGCAGACAAGGCCCAGGAUUUAGCUCAGUGACACAGCACCUACCUGGCAAGUGCAAGGUCCUGAGUUUCAUCCCUGUACCAAAAAAAAAAAGCAGCAGAUGAG